This is a long non-coding RNA of Meriones unguiculatus (Mongolian gerbil), 268 nucleotides long. RefSeq lists it as uncharacterized. The transcript has 4 exons. The record is from RefSeq and is a predicted model, not a curated record. NCBI's taxonomy places the organism in Eukaryota, Metazoa, Chordata, Mammalia, Rodentia, Muridae.
GGGGUGAGAAGGUGGCUGAGAGCGCAGAGAUGGCUAAAACCUCAUCUGUUUAGGCUGUGGGGAUGGCUCAAGCGGGUUUCUCUGUGUAGCCUUGGCUGUCCUGGACAACCUUUGUAGACCAGGCUGGCCUUGGUCUGCUUCCCCUAGUGCUGGGAUUACAGUGAGAGGCCGCAUUUGCUGAGGGCUCUGAGGGUCCAGCCAUUGUGUUUGGCUUCAGCCUAAUGCCACCUCCUCAGAGGAGCCCACCCAAAACCCACGGCCUGAGUCA